This 368-nucleotide ribosomal RNA is filed under the name uncultured bacterium. RNAcentral's name for it is "bacterial SSU rRNA". It matches the Rfam family "Bacterial small subunit ribosomal RNA", at positions 438 to 792 of the family's 1533-position model. The record is from RNAcentral.
AGUAGGGAGGUAAGGUAGUGUAGUUAACACCUGCAUUAUUUGACGUUUACCUACAGAAGAAGCACCGGCUAACUCCGUGCCAGCAGCCGCGGUAAUACGGAGGGUGCGAGCGUUAAUCGGAAUUACUGGGCGUAAAGCGCAUGCAGGCGGCCUGUUAAGUCAGAUGUGAAAGCCCGGGGCUUAACCUCGGAAUUGCAUUUGUAAACUGGCAGGCUAGAGUCUUGUAGAGGGGGGUAGAAUUUCAGGUGUAGCGGUGAAAUGCGUAGAGAUCUGAAGGAAUACCAGUGGCGAAGGCGGCCCCCCUCGGACAAAGAACUGACGCUCAGAUGCGAAAGCGUGGGGAGCAAACAGGAUUAGAUACCCUGGAG